UACGUAGGGCGCAAGCGUUGUCCGGAAUUAUUGGGCGUAAAGAGCUCGUAGGCGGUUUGUCGCGUCUGCUGUGAAAACCUAAGGCUCAACCUUGGGCUUGCAGUGGGUACGGGCAGACUAGAGUGCGGUAGGGGAGACUGGAAUUCCUGGUGUAGCGGUGAAAUGCGCAGAUAUCAGGAGGAACACCAAUGGCGAAGGCAGAUCUCUGGGCCGUAACUGACGCUGAGGAGCGAAAGCAUGGGGAGCGAACAGG
Molecule: ribosomal RNA, 253 nt
Filed under: uncultured bacterium
Lineage: Bacteria
Description: partial 16S ribosomal RNA
Rfam family: Bacterial small subunit ribosomal RNA
Source: RNAcentral